Molecule: ribosomal RNA, 466 nt
Filed under: uncultured bacterium
Lineage: Bacteria
Description: partial 16S ribosomal RNA
Rfam family: Bacterial small subunit ribosomal RNA
Source: RNAcentral
GAUGAACGCUGGCGGCGUGCUUAACACAUGCAAGUCGAACGAUGAAGCCCAGCUUGCUGGGUGGAUUAGUGGCGAACGGGUGAGUAACACGUGAGUAACCUGCCCUUAACUCUGGGAUAAGCCUGGGAAACUGGGUCUAAUACCGGAUAGGAGCGUCCACCGCAGGGUGGGUGUUGGAAAGAUUUAUCGGUUUUGGAUGGACUCGCGGCCUAUCAGCUUGUUGGUGGGGUAAUGGCUCACCAAGGCGAAGACGGGUAGCCGGCCUGGGAGGGUGACCGGCCACACUGGGACUGAGACACGGCCCAGACUCCUACGGUAGGCAGCAGUGGGGAAUAUUACACAAUGGGCGCAAGCCUGAUGCAGCGACGCCGCGUGAGGGAUGACGGCCUUCGGGUUGUAAACCUCUUUCAGUAGGGAAGAAGCGAAAGUGACGGUACCUGCAGAAGAAGCACCGGCUAACUACGUG